This 493-nucleotide ribosomal RNA is filed under the name uncultured bacterium. RNAcentral's name for it is "partial 16S ribosomal RNA". It matches the Rfam family "Bacterial small subunit ribosomal RNA", at positions 30 to 523 of the family's 1533-position model. The record is from RNAcentral.
AUUGAACGCUGGCGGCAUGCUUUACACAUGCAAGUCGAACGGUAACAGGUUAAGCUGACGAGUGGCGAACGGGUGAGUAAUGCAUCGGAACGUGCCCGAUCGUGGGGGAUAACGCAGCGAAAGCUGCGCUAAUACCGCAUACGAUCUGAGGAUGAAAGCGGGGGAACGUACGGCACCGCCGGAUCGGAGCGUGCGAUGUCCGAUUAGGUAGUUGGUGGGGUAAAGGCUCACCAAGCCAACUGUCUGUAGAUGGUCUGAGAGGACGACCAGCCACACUGGCACUGAGACACGGCCCAGACUCAUACGGGAGGCAGCAGUGGGGAAUUUUGGACAAUGGGCGAAAGCCUGAUCCAGCAAUGCCGCGUGCAGGAAGAAGGCCUUCGGGUUGUAAACUGCUUUUGUACGGAGCGAAAAGGCUCUCUCUAAGACAGGGGGCUCAUGACGGUACCGUAAGAAUAAGCACCGGCUAACUACGUGCCAGCAGCCGCCGUAA